CCCCUCUCAGGGUCGCGCCUGGAGAGUUUCCAGUCCUCUAACGGUCUCGGCUAUGGGAGGGAGAGUCAAGCAAAGGCUUAUCCAUUCCAUUCCUAGCUUGGCCAGUGGUUAGUGAGUGGAAGGUCAUAUGCUACAACU
Small nucleolar RNA from Ornithorhynchus anatinus (platypus), 138 nucleotides. The record is from RefSeq and is a predicted model, not a curated record. NCBI's taxonomy places the organism in Eukaryota, Metazoa, Chordata, Mammalia, Monotremata, Ornithorhynchidae.